RNAcentral lists this ribosomal RNA (381 nucleotides) under uncultured bacterium. RNAcentral describes it as "bacterial SSU rRNA". It matches the Rfam family "Bacterial small subunit ribosomal RNA", at positions 30 to 410 of the family's 1533-position model. The record is from RNAcentral.
AUUGAACGCUGGCGGCAUGCCUUACACAUGCAAGUCGAACGGUAGCGGGCCUUCGGGUGCCGACGAGUGGCGAACGGGUGAGUAAUGUAUCGGAACGUACCAUUGAGUGGGGGAUAACGUAGCGAAAGUUACGCUAAUACCGCAUAUUCUCUCCGGAGGAAAGCAGGGGACCGCAAGGCCUUGCGCUCUUUGAGCGGCCGAUAUCAGAUUAGCUAGUUGGUGAGGUAAAGGCUCACCAAGGCGACGAUCUGUAGCGGGUCUGAGAGGAUGAUCCGCCACACUGGAACUGAGACACGGUCCAGACCCCUACGGGAGGCAGCAGUGGGGAAUUUUUGGACAAUGGGGGCGAACCCUCGAUCCAGCCAUGCCGCGUGAGUGAAG